CCUACGGGGGGCAGCAGUGGGGAAUAUUGCACAAUGGGCGCAAGCCUGAUGCAGCCAUGCCGCGUGUGUGAAGAAGGCCUUCGGGUUGUAAAGCACUUUCAGCGGGGAGGAAGGCGUUAAGGUUAAUAACCUUGUCGAUUGACGUUACCCGCAGAAGAAGCACCGGCUAACUCCGUGCCAGCAGCCGCGGUAAUACGGAGGGUGCAAGCGUUAAUCGGAAUUACUGGGCGUAAAGCGCACGCAGGCGGUCUGUCAAGUCGGAUGUGAAAUCCCCGGGCUCAACCAGGGAACUGCAUUCGAAACUGGCAGGCUAGAGUCUUGUAGAGGGGGGUAGAAUUCCAGGUGUAGCGGUGAAAUGCGUAGAGAUCUGGAGGAAUACCGGUGGCGAAGGCGGCCCCCUGGACAAAGACUGACGCUCAGGUGCGAAAGCGUGGGGAGCAAACAGGAUUAGAUACCCGAGUAGUC
Molecule: ribosomal RNA, 465 nt
Filed under: uncultured Klebsiella sp.
Lineage: Bacteria; Pseudomonadati; Pseudomonadota; Gammaproteobacteria; Enterobacterales; Enterobacteriaceae
Description: bacterial SSU rRNA
Rfam family: Bacterial small subunit ribosomal RNA
Source: RNAcentral